UGUUCGAAAGGGAAACAGCCCAGACCACCAGCUAAGGUCCCAAAAUAUAUGUUAAGUGGAAAAGGAUGUGGCGUUGCCCAGACAACUAGGAUGUUGGCUUAGAAGCAGCCAUCAUUUAAAGAGUGCGUAAUAGCUCACUAGUCGAGUGACACUGCGCCGAAAAUGUACCGGGGCUAAACAUAUUACCGAAGCUGUGGAUUGUCCUUUGGACAAUGGUAGGAGAGCGUUCUAAGGGCGUUGAAGCAUGAUCGUAAGGACAUGUGGAGCGCUUAGAAGUGAGAAUGCCGGUGUGAGUAGCGAAAGACGGGUGAGAAUCCCGUCCACCGAUUGACUAAGGUUUCCAGAGGAAGGCUCGUCCGCUCUGGGUUAGUCGGGUCCUAAGCUGAGGCCGACAGGCGUAGGCGAUGGAUAACAGGUUGAUAUUCCUGUACCACCUAUAAUCGUUUUAAUCGAUGGGGGGACGCAGUAGGAUAGGCGAAGCGUGCGAUUGGAUUGCACGUCUAAGCAGUAAGGCUGAGUAUUAGGCAAAUCCGGUACUCGUUAAGGCUGAGCUGUGAUGGGGAGAAGACAUUGUGUCUUCGAGUCGUUGAUUUCACACUGCCGAGAAAAGCCUCUAGAUAGAAAAUAGGUGCCCGUACCGCAAACCGACACAGGUAGUCAAGAUGAGAAUUCUAAGGUGAGCGAGCGAACUCUCGUUAAGGAACUCGGCAAAAUGACCCCGUAACUUCGGGAGAAGGGGUGCUCUUUAGGGUUAACGCCCAGAAGAGCCGCAGUGAAUAGGCCCAAGCGACUGUUUAUCAAAAACACAGGUCUCUGCUAAACCGUAAGGUGAUGUAUAGGGGCUGACGCCUGCCCGGUGCUGGAAGGUUAAGAGGAGUGGUUAGCUUCUGCGAAGCUACGAAUCGAAGCCCCAGUAAACGGCGGCCGUAACUAUAACGGUCCUAAGGUAGCGAAAUUCCUUGUCGGGUAAGUUCCGACCCGCACGAAAGGCGUAACGAUUUGGGCACUGUCUCAACGAGAGACUCGGUGAAAUCAUAGUACCUGUGAAGAUGCAGGUUACCCGCGACAGGACGGAAAGACCCCGUGGAGCUUUACUGUAGCCUGAUAUUGAAAUUCGGCACAGCUUGUACAGGAUAGGUAGGAGCCUUUGAAACGUGAGCGCUAGCUUACGUGGAGGCGCUGGUGGGAUACUACCCUAGCUGUGUUGGCUUUCUAACCCGCACCACUUAUCGUGGUGGGAGACAGUGUCAGGCGGGCAGUUUGACUGGGGCGGUCGCCUCCUAAAAGG
This 1288-nucleotide ribosomal RNA is filed under the name Staphylococcus aureus. RNAcentral's name for it is "partial 23S ribosomal RNA". It matches the Rfam family "Bacterial large subunit ribosomal RNA", at positions 1008 to 2297 of the family's 2925-position model. The record is from RNAcentral. Lineage: Bacteria; Bacillati; Bacillota; Bacilli; Caryophanales; Staphylococcaceae.